CCUACGGGAGGCAGCAGUAGGGAAUCUUCCACAAUGGGCGAAAGCCUGAUGGAGCAACGCCGCGUGAGUGAAGAAGGUUUUCGGAUCGUAAAACUCUGUUGUAAGGGACAGAAGCAAGUGCAGUAGUAGAUCUUGCGGCUAGACACAGUACUUGACGGUACCUUAUUAGAAAGCCACGGCUAACUACGUGCCAGCAGCCGCGGUAAUACGUAGGUGGCAAGCGUUGUCCGGAAUUAUUGGGCGUAAAGCGCGCGCAGGCGGUUUCUUAAGUCUGAUGUGAAAGCCCUCGGCUUAACCGAGGAGGGUCAUUGGAAACUGGGAGACUUGAGUGCAGAAGAGGAAAGUGGAAUUCCAAGUGUAGCGGUGAAAUGCGUAGAGAUUUGGAGGAACACCAGUGGCGAAGGCGACUUUCUGGUCUGUAACUGACGCUGAGGCGCGAAAGCGUGGGGAGCAACCAGGAUUAGAUACCCUGGUAGUCCACGCCGUAAACGAUGAGUGCUAAGUGUUAGGGGGUUUCCGCCCCUUAGUGCUGCAGCUAACGCAUUAAGCACUCCGCCUGGGGAGUACGGUCGCAAGACUGAAACUCAAAGGAAUUGACGGGGGCCCGCACAAGCGGUGGAGCAUGUGGUUUAAUUCGAAGCAACGCGAAGAACCUUAC
Molecule: ribosomal RNA, 658 nt
Filed under: bacterium HN2-5-48
Lineage: Bacteria
Description: bacterial SSU rRNA
Rfam family: Bacterial small subunit ribosomal RNA
Source: RNAcentral